Fragaria vesca subsp. vesca is the source of this 1032-nucleotide RNA transcript. RefSeq lists it as uncharacterized. The record is from RefSeq and is a predicted model, not a curated record. The transcript is spliced from 4 exons. Lineage: Eukaryota; Viridiplantae; Streptophyta; Magnoliopsida; Rosales; Rosaceae.
GCGUUUGACAUUUGUGAGUCUGGGUUGUUGCCAUUUGUGUUUUUCGUCGACGUCUGGCGUUGAUGGCUUCUUCUGCAUGAUGGAUUUGAGUGUAUUGAGUAUUGACCAUCUUCUCUGUCGCUCUUUGUAGUCAGAGAGAGAUGGGUUUCGUGGAAUGAAAAUAUGUGUUGCUCUUCUCAAUGUAAUCGUCGAGGUAUGGACUUUGUUUUGUAUAUGAUCAAAUCGUCAAGGUGAGGACAUUGUUCUGUAUAUGAUCCAUUUUGAGUUUCUAUUUCAAUUGUCCUGAUCGUCUUUUAUCUUUGUUUUAAUGCCAAAUUGCCAAUACUUUCACCAAUUCGUAAACAAGAGUCUAGGUUUUUAAUCGGCGGUGGUCCGGCAGACUCUGUGGGUUCAUUCUAUUAUCAGAAGUUUUGUGUUCGUCGGAUUGGUUCGGUGUUAGUUUGCAUGUUGACGGUUUCGUUGGUAGCAUAUGUUGUGGGAACAGACAUUGCAUUAACAUUGCCCAGGGAACAUUUAGAACCAGAUCAAAACCAUGUACCUCACACUGAUGGUUUGCGUGAGGAGUGGUGGGUUUUGUGGAUUCGAUAACAAUGAAGUUAUAUGUUCUUGCAGUGAUAGAUCUUACGACAAAACCUGUGAUGAUGAAUGACUUUUCUUUUAGAUCUCCCAAGUUCCAGGAAAACCACAUUACUAUUGGCUCUUGCAGGAAGAGUUGGUAAAAAUAUGAAAGUCAAGCCUUAUUUACUAGCAGGUGCUUAUGAAAUUAGAUGGGAACUUUCCUUGGUUCUUUUCACUUCCCUAUGGUGUUUGUCAAAAAAAUACUCUCCCUAUGAUGAGCUCCACAAAAUCAUGUCACACAACAUUCGAUAAAAAUUACGUAUUGAUGGUAUUUAAUAUAAUUCACUGAGGUUUGCUUUAAGAGUAAAGACUUAACUUAAGGCUUUGCUUUAAGCAGUUCCCAAAGAAUCCAGAAUUAUUGAAUGACUGUUAUUUUUUUGCAGAUUAUGAAUGCACAAAGAAAAUGAAGCUGAG